RNAcentral lists this ribosomal RNA (468 nucleotides) under uncultured bacterium. RNAcentral's name for it is "partial 16S ribosomal RNA". It matches the Rfam family "Bacterial small subunit ribosomal RNA", at positions 28 to 507 of the family's 1533-position model. The record is from RNAcentral.
GACGAACGCUGGCGGCGUGCUUAACACAUGCAAGUCGAACGGAAAGGCCCUGCUUUUGUGGGGUGCUCGAGUGGCGAACGGGUGAGUAACACGUGAGUAACCUGCCCUUGACUUUGGGAUAACUUCAGGAAACUGGGGCUAAUACCGGAUAGGAGCUCCUGCUGCAUGGUGGGGGUUGGAAAGUUUCGGCGGUUGGGGAUGGACUCGCGGCUUAUCAGCUUGUUGGUGGGGUAGUGGCUUACCAAGGGUUUGACGGGUAGCCGGCCUGAGAGGGGGACCGGGCACAUGGGGACUGAGGGACGGACCAGAAUGCUACGGGAGGCAGGAGGGGGGAAUAUUGCACAAUGGGCGGAAGCCUGAUGGAACAACGCCGCGUGCGGGAUGACGGGCUUCGGGUUGUAAACCGCUUUCGACUGUGACGAAGCGGGAGUGACGGUAAUGGGUAAAGAAGCAACGGCUAACUACGUG